UCCCUGAUAGCUUAUUUGGUAAAGAAUCUGCCUGCAACGCAGGAGACCCCAGUUCUAUUCCUGGGUCUGGAA
Molecule: transfer RNA, 72 nt
Filed under: Bos taurus (domestic cattle)
Lineage: Eukaryota; Metazoa; Chordata; Mammalia; Artiodactyla; Bovidae
Also listed under: 2 other names
Rfam family: tRNA
About the family: Transfer RNA (tRNA) molecules are approximately 80 nucleotides in length.
Source: Rfam by way of RNAcentral